GUGCUUGUUUUGGCAGCACAUAUACUAAAAGUGGAAUGAUACAGAGAAGAUUAGCAUGGCUCCUGUGCAAGGAUGACACACAAAUUUGUGAAGCAUUCCAUAUUUUU
Molecule: small nuclear RNA, 107 nt
Filed under: Dasypus novemcinctus (nine-banded armadillo)
Lineage: Eukaryota; Metazoa; Chordata; Mammalia; Cingulata; Dasypodidae
Source: RNAcentral